Molecule: ribosomal RNA, 483 nt
Filed under: uncultured bacterium
Lineage: Bacteria
Description: partial 16S ribosomal RNA
Rfam family: Bacterial small subunit ribosomal RNA
Source: RNAcentral
UUGAACGCUAGCGGCAUGCUUUACCCAUGCAAGUCGCACGGCAGCGCGGGCUUCGGCCUGGCGGCGAGUGGCGAACGGGUGAGUAAUACAUCGGAACGUGCCCAGUAGUGGGGGAUAGCUCGGCGAAAGCCGGAUUAAUACCGCAUACGACCUGAGGGUGAAAGCGGGGGAUCUUCGGACCUCGCGCUAUUGGAGCGGCCGAUGGCAGAUUAGCUAGUUGGUGGGGUAAAGGCCUACCAAGGCGACGAUCUGUAGCUGGUCUGAGAGGACGACCAGCCACACUGGGACUGAGACACGGCCCAGACUCCUACGGGAGGCAGCAGUGGGGAAUUUUGGACAAUGGGCGAAAGCCUGAUCCAGCAAUGCCGCGUGUGUGAUGAAGGCCUUCGGGUUGUAAAGCACUUUUGGCGGGAACGAAAAGGACUGUGCCAAUACCACGGUUCGAUGACGGUACCCGCAGAAUAAGCACCGGCUAACUACGUG